UCCUUCAGUGAAGUUUUCGAAAAAAAAAAAAAAAAAUCCUACAGUGAAGGUUGAGCUCGUUUCUUGCGGUUUUUGGUGUCAGAAGAAAGUUGUGCUCUCAAAGAUCUCUUCUUUCUGGUUUCGAAGCCGGGUUAUAUCAAAGGAUAUACAAAAUCGAAUUUCACAUCUUUGCAAUGUUUGUUUUUGUUCCAAGUGAGGCUGUUUAUCCACCUAGCAGAUAAUUGGGGCUCAAUAAUUCAUUGUCGCACCACAUCUUUGAACAUCUCACUAUUGUUGGAGAGUCUUCGGAAGCUCUGACGCAUUCUUUGGCGCAUCUCCAAGGCCAAUCAGAUCAGGUGAAAGGUGGGGCAAGCUUAGUGUUAAAGCGACCCCCACCAAUAAACGUUCCAAAAGUAUCGGAUUCAAGCACGUGGGAUACAUUCUGGGCAUUGGGACCAAAUAUGUCCGCAGACAUGAUUUUCAAAGUCCACAUGACCCUCUUUAGCGAUCCUUAGAACAAUUCGAUUAUGAUAAGCUCAUUCUGAGUCCUUCGAAGGGGUAUGAAACAUUUCCAACUCAGUUGUGUGCUGACAAUUGCUGCAUGAUUGAUCGUAGAAUGGUAAGUCAUUCACAUUUAAAUUUAGUCUUAUUGUUAUUUUGUCACCUACCACCUUGAAUUGAAAC
Molecule: long non-coding RNA, 663 nt
Organism: Morus notabilis
Lineage: Eukaryota; Viridiplantae; Streptophyta; Magnoliopsida; Rosales; Moraceae
Exons: 4
Source: RefSeq, a predicted model, not a curated record